GAUGAACGCUGGCGGCGUGCUUAACACAUGCAAGUCGAACGGAAAGGCCACAGCUUGCUGUGGUACUCGAGUGGCGAACGGGUGAGUAACACGUGGGUGAUCUGCCCUGUACUUCGGGAUAAGCUUGGGAAACUGGGUCUAAUACCGGAUAGGAAUCACAUGUGGGUGUGUGGUUGGAAAGCUUUUGCGGUAUGGGAUGAGCUCGCGGCCUAUCAGCUUGUUGGUGGGGUAAUGGCCUACCAAGGCGUCGACGGGUAGCCGGCCUGAGAGGGUGUACGGCCACAUUGGGACUGAGAUACGGCCCAGACUCCUACGGGAGGCAGCAGUGGGGAAUAUUGCACAAUGGGCGCAAGCCUGAUGCAGCGACGCCGCGUGGGGGAUGACGUCCUUCGGGUUGUAAACUCCUUUCGUCAGGGACGAAGCGAAAGUGACGGUACCUGGAGAAGAAGCACCGGCUAACUACGUG
This 466-nucleotide ribosomal RNA is filed under the name uncultured bacterium. RNAcentral's name for it is "partial 16S ribosomal RNA". It matches the Rfam family "Bacterial small subunit ribosomal RNA", at positions 28 to 507 of the family's 1533-position model. The record is from RNAcentral.